AGACCUGAAAGUAUUUUUGUUGGUUGGGAAACCUUUAUCAGUCUAAAACCAUUCCUUUUAAUUUUGUAAUUAUUGAUAAAAAUAACCAAACAACAAGCU
Molecule: long non-coding RNA, 99 nt
Organism: Melanotaenia boesemani (Boeseman's rainbowfish)
Lineage: Eukaryota; Metazoa; Chordata; Actinopteri; Atheriniformes; Melanotaeniidae
Exons: 3
Source: RefSeq, a predicted model, not a curated record